This 1674-nucleotide ribosomal RNA is filed under the name Triticum aestivum (bread wheat). Its description in RNAcentral is "partial small subunit ribosomal RNA". The record is from RNAcentral. Lineage: Eukaryota; Viridiplantae; Streptophyta; Magnoliopsida; Poales; Poaceae.
AUGGGAGGAGGAGAUUAUCACCAGCAGAGCCUCAUCGGCGGUGCGGCUGUUCAUGGCCAUGGAGGGGGAGGGGGCGGCACCGUGGAGGCUGCGCUGAGGCCGCUCGUCGGCGGCUCCCACGGCUGGGACUACUGCAUGUACUGGCAGCUCUCUCCUGACCAGAGGUUCUUGGAGAUGGCGGGGUUUUGCUGCAGCGCCGAGUUCGAGGCGCAGGUCGCCACGCUCGCCGACGUCCCUUGCUCCAUCCCUCUUGACUCCUCCUCCAUCGGGAUGCACGCUCAGGCGCUACUGUCGAACCAGCCAAUCUGGCAGAGCAGCGGCGGGGCGCCGGGCCCGGAUCUCCUCACGGGCUACGAGGCUGCCUCCAGCGGUGGCGAGAAGACGCGGCUCCUCGUCCCAGUCGCCGGGGGCAUCGUCGAGCUCUUCGCGUCGAGAUAUAUGGCGGAGGAGCAGCAGAUGGCGGAGCUGGUCAUGGCGCAGUGUGGUGGCGGUGGGCAGGGGUGGCAGGAGACGGAGGCGCAGGGGUUCGCGUGGGACGCGGCGGCGGCAGCAGACCCCGGGCGGCUCUACGCGGCGGCGUCGCUCAACCUGUUCGACGGUGCCGGGGGAAGCGGCUCCGGCGAGCCGUUCCUGGCGGGAGUGCAGGAGGACGGCGCGGCGGGCGUGGGGUGGCAGUACGCGGCAGAGAGCAGCGAGCCGCCGUCGACAGUGGCGCAGGAGCAUCAGCAGCUGCACGGGCAGCACGGCUCGGGCGUGGGGAGGGCGGAUUCGGGGUCGGAGGGGAGCGAUAUGCAGCUGGGGGACCCCGACGACGACGUCGACGGCGAGACGCAGAGGGGCUCUGGCAAAGACGGCUGCGGGAAGCGGCAGCAGUGCAAGAACCUCGAGGCGGAGCGGAAGCGGCGCAAGAAGCUCAACGACCGCCUCUACAAGCUCCGGUCCCUCGUCCCCAACAUUACCAAGAUGGACCGUGCGUCGAUCCUCGGGGACGCGAUCGACUACAUCGUGGGGCUGCAGAAGCAGGUGAAGGAGCUGCAGGACGAGCUGGAGGACCCGAACCCGCCGGGGGGCACCGGCGGCGACAGCAAGGCCCCGGACGUGCUCCUCGACGACCACCCGCCGCCGGGCCUCGACAACGACGAGGACUCGCCGCAGCAGCAGCCGUUCCCAUCCGCCGGCGGCAAGCGGCCCUGGAAGGAGGAGGCGGGCGAGGAGGAGGAGAUGGAGGCGGAGGACCAUGACAUGGAGCCGCAGGUGGAGGUCCGGCAGGUGGAGGGGAAGGAGUUCUUCCUGCAGGUGCUGUGCUCCCACAAGUCCGGGCGCUUCGUCCGCAUCAUGGACGAGAUCGCCGCCCUCGGCCUCCAGAUCACCACCGUCAACGUCACCUCCUACAACAAGCUCGUCCUCAACGUCUUCCGCGCCGUCAUGAAGGACAACGAGGCGGCGGUGCCGGCGGACAGGGUGAGGGACUCGCUGCUGGAGGUGACGAGGGAGAUGUACGGCGGGGGCGGCGCGUGGUCGUCCCCGGUCCCUCCGCCGCCGCUGACAAACGCGAAGCUCGAUGGCAUGGACGGGCAGGCGGUGCCGGCGGCGGCCGCGGACCACUACCAACUGCACCACCAGGUGCUGGGAGGAUAUCAUCACCAGCAUCUGCAGUACCUCGCCAUGGAUUGA